CCCUUACAUUCGUCAUUGCACGCACGUGGUCUUGUGAAUUUAUCACGAUAGAGCAGCGCCAAGCCGGACUGCAGUAUCAGGCCGGACCAGUCGCAUGCACGGUCUACCCUAAACCACUCUCAGAUUACCUGUUUCUCUUUCGCGCGAUCCUUUUCGCUCGCUCGUUCCGCACCCCGUUUGUGACAUGUGACAUUUUUUUUACUAGAUUUUACAUUAAACGUUUUUUACUCCCAUUGAUAUUGACAACUAACCCGGUAUACGGUUGUGCCGUUUUUAAGCUCUCGAUCUUUUUUAUCAAGUUUUUAAUAUUUUUUGCCCCUUUUCAAAAUGUGUCGGUCGGAAAGUUUAAGUUCGCAAAGUGCGUCCACUGACAGUAGUGAUCGUGUUUUUGUCAUUGAGACAAGUACAUCCUCGGAUUCUUCUAGCAGUUCUUUAUUAUCCUCGAUCUGUGAACGAUGUUCCAGUAGUUUUAGCAGAAAAAGUUAUUCGUGGAGUAGAGCUAUUAGAAAAUUCAAUCGGUUCGUGGCGCUAGGAGUGUUCUUGCUGAGUCUAGUAAGGAUUCCUUCUUGUACGAGCUCACCGAUCAUCCGACGAAACACGAACACGAUGGAGAAGCAGAACAACGCGCUGGCGCAAAGGCCCCUCUGGGUUAACCCUUGCGGCUACGGCACUGACGAGACGGACACAGAGCCGGAGCCCUACGCCCAGACCCAGGAGACUCGCAUGCUCCAGAGCAUCAUCCUCACCUCCAAAAACGCCCUCAGUCACGCCAAGCAGUUCAGAGACAAUUACGUAAGUUCAUUCCUUCUUCUUCAGUCUCCGCCACCCAGAGACAAUCAGAGACAAGAGACCCUCCACUGGCCUCCUAGCGACAGGUGGAAGCUUUUACUUUCGGGGUUUCAACAAUUCCUUAUGGACAAUUAUUAGGGAGCAACAGUCAUCACCCUCAUUUCGGCUGUUGACCUAACUACAUGGUCGAUGAUGAGCUUCGGGUGACGUCAUGAGCCAAACAAGUUUCCCAAACGUCGGCCAUUUUCGGCUUGUUUGCUAAACGAAACUGCCAACAAGUUGUUCAACAUCAACCAUGUAGGUAAGUCAACAGUGGAAUGCUGAAGUCCCGAAAGUAAAAGCUUCCACAAUGGCCAAGAUACUAGUGGAGGGUCUCUUGUCUCUGGAGACAAUAUUCCAGGGGCCUCGAGGACAA
This 1204-nucleotide long non-coding RNA is filed under the name Bemisia tabaci. RNAcentral's name for it is "lncRNA ENSSSA1NGG002994". Lineage: Eukaryota; Metazoa; Arthropoda; Insecta; Hemiptera; Aleyrodidae. The record is from RNAcentral.